Molecule: transfer RNA, 73 nt
Filed under: Candidatus Zhuqueibacterota bacterium 4484_188
Lineage: Bacteria; Pseudomonadati
Also listed under: 2 other names
Description: candidate division KSB1 bacterium 4484_188 tRNA-Thr
Rfam family: tRNA
About the family: Transfer RNA (tRNA) molecules are approximately 80 nucleotides in length. Their secondary structure includes four short double-helical elements and three loops (D, anti-codon, and T loops). Further hydrogen bonds mediate the characteristic L-shaped molecular structure. tRNAs have two regions of fundamental functional importance: the anti-codon, which is responsible for specific mRNA codon recognition, and the 3' end, to which the tRNAs corresponding amino acid is attached (by aminoacyl-tRNA synthetases). tRNAs cope with the degeneracy of the genetic code in two manners: having more than one tRNA (with a specific anti-codon) for a particular amino acid; and 'wobble' base-pairing, i.e. permitting non-standard base-pairing at the 3rd anti-codon position.
Source: RNAcentral
GCCCACGUAGCUCAGUAGGUAGAGCACAUCCUUGGUAAGGAUGAGGUCACCGGUUCAACCCCGGUCGUGGGCU